RNAcentral lists this ribosomal RNA (654 nucleotides) under uncultured bacterium. RNAcentral describes it as "bacterial SSU rRNA". It matches the Rfam family "Bacterial small subunit ribosomal RNA", at positions 8 to 706 of the family's 1533-position model. The record is from RNAcentral.
AGAGUUUGAUCCUGGCUCAGGAUGAACGAUGGCGGUAUGCUUAACACAUGCAAGUUUGACGAACUUCUUCGGAAGUUAGUGGCGGACGGGUGAGUAACACGUGAGAAUCUGCCGAAAGGUUCGGGACAACCACGGGAAACGGUGGCUAAUACCGGAUAAGCCGAAAGGUGAAAGAUUAAUUGCCUUUUGAUGAGGUCGCGGCCGAUUAAUUAGUUGGUGGGGUAAGAGCCUACCAAGACGGCGAUCGGUAGCUGGUCUGAGAGGACGAUCAGCCACACUGGGACUGAGACACGGCCCAGACUCCUACGGGAGGCAGCAGUGGGGAAUUUUCCGCAAUGGGCGAAAGCCUGACGGAGCAAUACCGCGUGAGGGAGGAAGGCUCUUGGGUUGUAAACCUCUUUUCUCAGGGAAGAAUACUGACGGUACCUGAGGAAUAAGCAUCGGCUAACUCCGUGCCAGCAGCCGCGGUAAUACGGAGGAUGCAAGCGUUAUCCGGAAUGAUUGGGCGUAAAGCGUCCGCAGGUGGUUGUUCAAGUCUGCUGUCAAAGCAUCUGGCUUAACCAGAUAAAGGCAGUGGAAACUGAACGACUGGAGUGCGGUAGGGGCAGAGGGAAUUCCCAGUGUAGCGGUGAAAUGCGUAGAGAUUGGGAAGAA